GGACUACCCGGGUAUCUAAUCCUGUUUGCUACCCACGCUCUCGCGCCUCAGUGUCAGUAUUAGUCCAGGAAGUCGCCUUCGCCACUGGUGUUCCUUCCGAUAUCUACGCAUUUCACCGCUACACCGGAAAUUCCACUUCCCUCUACCAUACUCAAGUCAAACAGUCUUGGCUGCAAUUCCCAGGUUAAGCCCGGGGAUUUCACAGCCAACUUAUUUAGCCACCUACGCGCCCUUUACGCCCAGUAAUUCCGAUUAACGCUUGCACCCUCUGUAUUACCGCGGCUGCUGGCAC
This 292-nucleotide ribosomal RNA is filed under the name uncultured bacterium. Its description in RNAcentral is "partial 16S ribosomal RNA". The record is from RNAcentral.